ACUAACAAAAUACUCGAAGCUCAUUCCUCAUUCUCUCAAGUUUCGACAGCGCCUUACUCUCUCUCGACACAGACACAGACACAGACACAGAACCCAAAACUCCUCACUCUCUCGACAACGUCUCCCCAAAACCAAAACUUCACUCUCCCAAACCCGCACUCCUCGCUCGUGCCUUACCUUCAAACCAAAAUCAGUCUCUCUAACCAAUUGACGGCUUGAUAUCAUCAUGGCAAAGGCUGUUCUCCCUCACCAUCUUCGGUACCAGCCCCUCAAGGCCAUCACCGGCCAUAAUCCAAGCGGUCGUCAUCCUCUCCGUCGAUCUGAGGGCAUGCCCGGCAACCGCUACUACACCGCCGUGUUCCAGCCCCACGACCGCAUCAUGGGCUCCCCUCCGGCUGUCACUUGACCCAUGGUUACUACACCUCCGGCAGGAAGAAGAUCUCGGCCACCUCGAUCUACUUUGAUAGUCUACCCUACAAGGUGAGUUCCUCCACUGGGUCAUUGAUUACGACAAGCUGAAAAGAAGGCCUUGGAUUGGUACACAUUCACGAGCUCCAGCUCCAGUUCCGCCAGAAGACCCACAAUCUCAAUCGACUCGAGGCCCAGCGGAUUGAGCUCAAUUCCAGAGGUUUGCUUGUUCAAUGUUUAUGUUUUGAACAGUGAGAAUUGGUAAGAAUGCAGAGCAUUGGUAAUUGCAACUGCUUUAGCAUACUCCCAUUGUGACAUUACAUGUAGAUGAUAAGAAUAUUAACGCAUAGGCAAUUGCAACUGCUUUGGCAUACUUGUAUGGCCACCACCCCAAGCUCAGUGAUACCAAUGCCUUUCGUGUUCUAGCUGCUGCUUCUUUUCUUGAUCUUCAGGUUUGCAGAUCCGUGAAAUUUCUAGUUGGUGGUGCUUCCUUGAAGGUCUUCCAUGAGAUGGUUAGUGCUGGAGUAGAACCAAAUGUUCACACAUAUGGGGCACUGAUUAAUGGUUGUGGCAGAGCUGCGGAAGUGGCAAAGGCAUUUGGUGCUUAUGGGAUAUUGAGGUCUAAGUAGAAAGUGAAGCCAGUCUGAGUUGUAUUCAAUGCACUUAUUACUGCAUAUGGUCAAUCAGGAGCAGUUGACCGCGCUUUUAUUGUCUUAGAAGAAAUGAAGGCAGAGUACAGCCUAUAGAACCUGAUCACACAACUGGGAUAAUGAAGAUGAGCUCGACAAGAUUGAAAAUUUCACUUUAUCUUCUUCUUCAGCUAAUCUGGGCUCUGUGGAGGCUUUGGAUAAAUCGAAGUAUAUGGAUGGCCUUCGAGCAGUAAGGAAGCACAUUCAGAAGCUGGAACAUGACCUUGAGUUGCUUAAAGCACAUGCUAAAACAAAAGUUGAAUUUAGUUCUAAUGCUAUUGAAGAAACUCCUGAAGAUAUUGAGAGCGUUGAGUCUGGGAGCUCCUCAAACCCCAAUGAGGCCAUGAGAACAGCAAAGCUAGACACUCUUAAGUAAAUUUCUGGAUGUAUUUUACUAGGAGAGUACUACUAGAUAUACUCCUUUUGUGGAUAAAAGAUUAUCUUUGCACAAUCCAUUUUGGUGUAUGAUGUGGAUUAUAACAAUUUCUUCUAUAUAUAUAUAUUGAUAAGUUAAUUUGGUCA
Molecule: RNA transcript, 1619 nt
Organism: Rosa rugosa (rugosa rose)
Lineage: Eukaryota; Viridiplantae; Streptophyta; Magnoliopsida; Rosales; Rosaceae
Exons: 6
Source: RefSeq, a predicted model, not a curated record